AAUAGGGUCAUACAGCUCGGAAAACUCAAAGCAAGCCAGUGAUUCCAGCCAUGAAAGCCUUCGCCAACAUAAUAUGAUCCAGUUCAAAGCAGGUAAUCUGGAUUUUAUAUGGCAAUGUAGAUGGGGCCUAAGAGUGAUCGAAGGUGUUGCCAAAAUCUUGUGGAAUGCUAGAUGUUCCAUACAACUGUUUUGUGGAAAACUACUAGAAAUUUGCAUAAAGUAACACCAUUUACUGGUUCUUUCCAUAGUCACACAUUUUUCUAAAGAAAGUUGAAAUCUUGGCCUAAAUCUUUCAGGUUUUCUGUGAAAAAAUACAAGACAUUCAGAGAAGAUAGGCUGGAGACACCAACAGGCAUGGUGAAUGGAAAAGAAUGGAUAUGAAGGGCCUUCUCUGUAGUGGCCUCCUGGCUAUGGAAUUCUCUCCCUAAUGAGGUUAGGUCUGCCCCCAUCCUCCUGACCCUCAGGAAGCAACUGAAAUCCUGGCUUUGGAAUCAGGCAUUCACACAUUGAUGGAUUGAACCGGUAAAGACUAAGAGUUAUUGGACUACAACGUUUGGAUUGCGUUGGAUGAUGUUUUUAACUCUGUGAACUGUCUUUUAUAUGUAUUUUAUAACUUAUUUAUUAUUUAUGUUGUUUUUAAAAAUGUUAUUUAUUGAAUAACAUUGAAAAUAGCAUUGAAUUUUUGCUGUUGUUAGCCAUUCUGUGUCCCUCCACAGAGGUAGAGAAGAAUGGGAAAUAAAAGUUCUAAAUAAAUAAUAUCUAAAUAAAUGAAUAUCUAAGGCUUGAAUUUAUGUAUUACUUGGUCUUCCCACAACCUGGUGUCCUCCAAAUGUGUAGGACUGUCCUAAAUAAAAUAAAUAUUUCUCUGAAG
This is a long non-coding RNA of Anolis sagrei ordinatus, 871 nucleotides long. RefSeq lists it as uncharacterized. The record is from RefSeq and is a predicted model, not a curated record. NCBI's taxonomy places the organism in Eukaryota, Metazoa, Chordata, Lepidosauria, Squamata, Anolidae.